This 183-nucleotide non-coding RNA is filed under the name Synechococcus sp. TMED19. RNAcentral describes it as "6S RNA". It matches the Rfam family "6S / SsrS RNA". Rfam says of the family: E. coli 6S RNA was the first non coding RNA to be sequenced, but its function was unknown until recently. It consists of 184 nucleotides that fold into an extended hairpin structure with a large single-stranded internal bulge. Lineage: Bacteria; Bacillati; Cyanobacteriota; Cyanophyceae; Synechococcales; Synechococcaceae. The record is from RNAcentral.
UGCGGACUGCUGUGUUGGUGUUUGCCCUGCCCAGUGUUCUGAUCUGACUCCCUUUUCGACUCGGGGGGGAUGUCGCGACGGUGACGUAGGCCGGCCCCGUAGCUGGAAACGAAGCCCCGCUUUUCCCCCCCUUCUGGUUCUUCCAGGUCGAACUCGGGGGCAUCACGGCACGGUGGUCCACCC